UACGUAGGGUGCAAGCGUUGUCCGGAAUUAUUGGGCGUAAAGCGCGUGUAGGCGGCUUAGCAAGUCGGGUGUGAAAUCCCUCAGCUCAACUGAGGAAGUGCGCCCGAAACUGCUGAGCUUGAGUGCCGGAGAGGAUGGCGGAAUUCCCCAAGUAGAGGUGAAAUUCGUAGAUAUGGGGAGGAACACCGGUGGCGAAGGCGGCCAUCUGGACGGUAACUGACGCUGAGACGCGAAAGCGUGGGUAGCAAACAGG
This 253-nucleotide ribosomal RNA is filed under the name uncultured bacterium. RNAcentral's name for it is "partial 16S ribosomal RNA". It matches the Rfam family "Bacterial small subunit ribosomal RNA", at positions 524 to 776 of the family's 1533-position model. The record is from RNAcentral.